CUACUGAUUUAUUGGUCCUCCUGCAAUAGGCCCCGGUGGUGGUGGUCUGUAGGGUGCUAACUUUAAAGAACGUCGGUGUGUUUGGAUCUGCACUUCACCUGCACGCAUCAUCACAAUACUAAUCCUUCUUUUAACACAAUAUUUCCUAAACAUGUGAUGCUUGGAAUCUAUGAUAAGUUUGGAUCUGAAAACUUGCCUAGUGGAGUUCCAGACAUGAGGAGCAGUUCACAAGUGAUGAUGAUCACAAGCAGGAUCACGCGGCAGGCAUGGCUCAGGAACAUUUUCAUCAUAUCUGCCACAGGAAGUGUCUUAAGGUUUGCAG
RNAcentral lists this long non-coding RNA (322 nucleotides) under Musa acuminata (dwarf banana). RNAcentral's name for it is "long non-coding RNA (MACU_LNC001965)". The record is from RNAcentral. Lineage: Eukaryota; Viridiplantae; Streptophyta; Magnoliopsida; Zingiberales; Musaceae.